AGCAGCCGCGGUAAUUCCAGCUCCAAUAGCGUAUAUUAAAGUUGUUGCAGUUAAAAAGCUCGUAGUUGAACUUCGGGGUUUACCCAUUGGUCAGGCUUAAUUGUCUGUACUGGUGAGAUAAAUCUCUACCUUCUGAGGAACUUUCAUGCCAUUAAUUUGGUGUGAUGGGAAAUCAGGACUGUUACUUUGAAAAAUUAGAGUGUUUAAAGCAGGCUAACGUCUGAAUACAUUAGCAUGGAAUAAUGAAAUAGGACGGACUGAUUCUAUUUCGUUGGUUUCUAGGAUCACCGUAAUGAUUAAUAGGGAUAGUUGGGGGCAUUAGUAUUCAAUUGUCAGAGGUGAAAUUCUUGGAUUUAUUGAAGACUAACUACUGCGAAAGCAUUUGCCAAGGAUGUUUUCAUUAAUCAAGAACGAAAGUUAGGGGAUCGAAGACGAUCAGAUACCGUCGUA
RNAcentral lists this ribosomal RNA (450 nucleotides) under uncultured Diversispora. Its description in RNAcentral is "SSU rRNA". It matches the Rfam family "Eukaryotic small subunit ribosomal RNA", at positions 569 to 1022 of the family's 1831-position model. Lineage: Eukaryota; Fungi; Glomeromycota; Glomeromycetes; Diversisporales; Diversisporaceae. The record is from RNAcentral.